RNAcentral lists this long non-coding RNA (2666 nucleotides) under Homo sapiens (human). RNAcentral describes it as "HSALNT0145084". The record is from RNAcentral. Lineage: Eukaryota; Metazoa; Chordata; Mammalia; Primates; Hominidae.
CCCUGGACCCAGGGACUGGUGCAGAAAGUCAGGUCUCACCAAUCGGAGCGAGGCAUUCCCUAGGUCAAAGCCAUGGGCCAAUCUUGGGCUCAUGACCUCAUUUAGACCCGCAGGUCCUGGGGGAGGGCUUUGGGGGAGGUUCUUUCCUCUUAAGAAAGGCCUGUGGGAGCUGAUGCUAUGGCACUGGGGUGCCGGCCAGGAGCUGCAGAGCUACGCAUGAAUAAAAAGAGGCUGUGCUCAGGCGGCGGCGUGGCUGUGAACUGGCCAUGGAGGAGGGGAGGAGCACUAUCAGGGCAAGAUCCCCAAGGCCUGGUGGUCUCCAUGGGCCCCAUUAAACACCUGAGGAUUAAAGAUUCCAAGAAGCCUGGAUCCUCCCCACUCCAUAUUGCUGCCUGACAGGGGUUGAGGUGACGAGGGGAGCAUUGGUUUCCCUGGGGGAAUAAUUAAAGCUCUUUGGUGCUGAGCCAGAUCUGACAAGACUAAUGGUCCGUGUGAGCCAAGGCUCCAUGAGUUGUAUUAGCCAGAGAGUGGAGGAAGCCACAGCCGCUGCCACAGCCAGCCGCCACAGCCAGCCACCAUCAGGGCACCGAGGAUGUGCGCGCCCUGGAGGACUUCAGGCUCAGAGCCAUUCAGGGCCGGUGAGAAAGCUGAGGAUGGCAGGUACCUUCUCUCUAUGAGUCAUUGGUUGCCUCUGCCAACCAGAGACAAUGAUGGACAUUUACAUACUUCCAACGUCAGCAUGAAGGGUGAGUGUGGAACGCCACCUCUCUGCUGACCCAUCUGCAGGGCAGUGAGAUGGGCAGAGGCUGCCACUGGUCACUCACAAGUUCAUUCAAGAAUUAGCAGCUGAGGGCCAGACCCAUGCCAGAGCCAGCGCAAUAGAGAACCCCUGGCUCUCACUGUGGCAGCCCUCCAAGGUGCCCUCUCCUCCACCCGUCCGCCUGCCUGGGAGAUGCUGAGAGUGAGUGAACCUGCCCCUGGGAAAGAGCCAGGACUCCUAUGGGGGCUGCACGUGGGUGCCCCGCCUUGGCCACUGCUCCUGGCCACUUGAACUCUCUGGUAAGUGAAACGACACUUACACACUCUUGGAAUGACGCCCCCUGAGAGAUGCUGCUGAUUCAAGGGUAGCUCAGAAAACUGGUCAUCCAGACCUGAAGUUGGUCUCCUAAUUUGACAUAAUGGAAUAGAAUAGAAAGAAGCCACACACGUGGUCCCGCAACAUCUUAGUCCCUGAGAACCGCAGCGUUCCUCUCAGGGGCCAUUUGUGCUCACCCCUAGUGCCGUGCGGGACACAACUGAAUCAUGUCUGAAUAUCGUUGCAGGGAAUUUUUUCUGCUUAUAUCAACAUACGGACCUCAGACUCAGGACUUGUCCUAAAUUCUACCUUCUACGAAACCUGGUUUUUCAGCCUCAGCACCACUGACAUUUGGGACGGAUCAUUCUCCCUGCUGUGGCCACCCCAUGCACUGCAGGCAGCUGAGCAGCAUCCUCGGCCUCCACCCGUGAGAGACCUGCACCACCCACCUCCGACGCCACCACCCAAAGCCUCUGCAGACACUUCCCGGUGUCCCCGGAUGGCAAAACUGGCCUGUGGAGGACCAGCGACCUGCCCCAGUGUUUACUGUGUGUGCAAAUACUCUCUGAGCCCCUGUAUGUGCCCGAGCUUGCCUGAGGUCUAGUGUGGCUGUGGCCAGUGGUGACACUAGAAAAAAACAGCAAACACGGGGCCUCGGCAUGCACCAAACUGGGCCAGAACCCACCGCAGCCAUGAGCUCUGGAACCCGCACUGCAAACAUGAGACCUCACCGUGCACCAACCUGGGCUGGAACCCACUGCAGCCGUGAACUCUGGAACCCACACAGCAAACAUGAGGCCUCACCAUGCACCAACCUGGGCUGGAACCCACUGCAGACGUGAACUCUGGAACCCACACAGCAAACAUUGGAGGGAAACACUGUCACUUCUACUUUACAGGCAUAAACACUGAAGUGCAGAGCAUUUGGGUGCAUCAGAAUUUUAACUCUUCAGCCCUGCAGGCCUCGCUUUCAGACAUUCUGCUUCAGUAGGGCUGGAAGGGGUCCUGGGGAGCCCCACUGCAGGGAACCAGAAACCAACUGGAAGAGCCGGUGUCCAGCAGGCCCCAGAGCUCCUCAGAGCCUCAGAUGGGGUUGGAGGGCCUUCCCCUGCUCCAUCCUUCCCCCAAAUACUGGUUGUUCCUUUCAUUCAAUAGAUGCUCAAAUCUUACACAAUUUAAACAGACAUUCCUAAGAGCACUGUAUUUGCAUGUAAUUUGACUGUUUUCUUGUAGUAGUUGUAAAAGGGGAAGGAAAAUCUAUUCCAGUUAAUUGUAGGUUCUGUGGAACUGGAGUUAGAUCACAUCACUAUUGAAACCAGCUUAUUAUUGAUCGGAAAUGUGACAGGCCUGGGUCCACGGGCACACGUGUUGCCAGAAGCCUUUGUCACUCCAUGGCUGACAUCUCUGCAUUGUUUUUCAGCUGGUAAUUCCUUAAAAGACUGAGACAAUAGUCAUUUAAUAUCGUUUGCUCAAAUGAACAGUUCCCCGAGCAAAUAACAAUAAUAAAAAAAAGUCCCUGAGAAGCCAAUUAGACUCUGCAGCUUGUACCAAGCAAUGGCCUUUCUAAUAGACGCCCUUUUUACAAGUGCAG